AGCAGCCGCGGUAAUUCCAGCUCCAAUAGCGUAUAUUAAAGUUGUUGCAGUUAAAAAGCUCGUAGUUGAAUUUCGGGGUUAGUAGGUUGGUCAUGCCUCUGGUAUGUACUGGUCUCACUGAUUCCUCCUUCCUGACGAACCUUAAUGCCAUUAAUUUGGUGUUUUGGGAAAUUUGGACUGUUACUUUGAAAAAAUUAGAGUGUUUAAAGCAAGCUAACGCUUGAAUACAUUAGCAUGGAAUAAUGAAAUAGGACGUUCGAUCCUAUUUUGUUGGUUUCUAGGAUUGACGUAAUGAUUAAUAGGGAUAGUUGGGGGCAUUAGUAUUCAAUUGUCAGAGGUGAAAUUCUUGGAUUUAUUGAAGACUAACUACUGCGAAAGCAUUUGCCAAGGAUGUUUUCAUUAAUCAAGAACGAAAGUUAGGGGAUCGAAGACGAUCAGAUACCGUCGUAGUCUUAACCAUAAACUAUGCCGACUAGGGAUCGGAUGAUGUCAAUUUUUUAAUGACUCA
This 508-nucleotide ribosomal RNA is filed under the name Glomus sp. PSAMG4. RNAcentral describes it as "SSU rRNA". It matches the Rfam family "Eukaryotic small subunit ribosomal RNA", at positions 569 to 1078 of the family's 1831-position model. The record is from RNAcentral. Lineage: Eukaryota; Fungi; Glomeromycota; Glomeromycetes; Glomerales; Glomeraceae.